Haliotis rubra (blacklip abalone) is the source of this 118-nucleotide long non-coding RNA. RefSeq lists it as uncharacterized. Lineage: Eukaryota; Metazoa; Mollusca; Gastropoda; Lepetellida; Haliotidae. The transcript has 3 exons. The record is from RefSeq and is a predicted model, not a curated record.
CUGAGAGAAUCCCAAGAGUGCUGAGAGGUGUUUUCCUUCUGUGUGCUUCGUCUUCAGUUGCAGUGAAGAGAAUCUUCGGAAGUAUAGGACCAUGCUGGCGAGAACACACUUGAUGGUG